RNAcentral lists this ribosomal RNA (267 nucleotides) under uncultured archaeon. RNAcentral's name for it is "partial 16S ribosomal RNA". It matches the Rfam family "Archaeal small subunit ribosomal RNA", at positions 716 to 982 of the family's 1478-position model. The record is from RNAcentral.
ACGACUACACUUAGUAUAUCCCGUGUAGUCCUAGCCGUAAACGAUACUCGCUAGGUGUCGGCCACGGUGCGACCGUUGUCGGUGCCCGUAGGGAAGCCGUGAAGCGAGCCACCUGGGAAGUACGGCCGCAAGGCUGAAACUUAAAGGAAUUGGCGGGGGAGCACAACAACGGGUGGAGCUUGCGGUUUAAUUGGAUUCAACGCCGGAAAUCUUACCGGGACCGACAGCAACAUGAAGGCCAAGCUGAAGACUUUGCCGGAUUAGCUG